AUUGAACGCUGGCGGCAUGCCUUACACAUGCAAGUCGAACGGUAACAGGUCUUCGGAUGCUGACGAGUGGCGAACGGGUGAGUAAUACAUCGGAACGUGCCUAGUAGUGGGGGAUAACUACUCGAAAGAGUGGCUAAUACCGCAUGAGAUCUACGGAUGAAAGCAGGGGAUCGCAAGACCUUGUGCUACUAGAGCGGCCGAUGGCAGAUUAGGUAGUUGGUGGGAUAGAAGCUUACCAAGCCGACGAUCUGUAGCUGGUCUGAGAGGACGAUCCGCCACACUGGGACUGAGACACGGCCCAGACUCCUACGGGAGGCAGCAGUGGGGAAUUUUGGACAAUGGGCGCAAGCCUGAUUCAGCAAUGCCGCGUGCAGGAUGAAGGCCUUCGGGUUGUAAACUGCUUUUGUACGGAACGAAAAGCCCCGGGUUAAUACCCUGGGGUCAUGACGGUACCGCAAGAAUAAGCACCGGCUAACUACGUGCCAGCCGCCGCCGUAA
RNAcentral lists this ribosomal RNA (498 nucleotides) under uncultured bacterium. Its description in RNAcentral is "partial 16S ribosomal RNA". It matches the Rfam family "Bacterial small subunit ribosomal RNA", at positions 30 to 523 of the family's 1533-position model. The record is from RNAcentral.